Molecule: long non-coding RNA, 637 nt
Filed under: Linum usitatissimum (flax)
Lineage: Eukaryota; Viridiplantae; Streptophyta; Magnoliopsida; Malpighiales; Linaceae
Description: long non-coding RNA (LUSI_LNC003214)
Source: RNAcentral
UCAAGAAUAAGAAGGGAGGAAUUGAAUUAACAAAUCGCAUAGAAGAUUAAUGGCUCAUAUAUUGAAUUAACUUCAAAGAUUCUCUCAAAUCUAUAUACAGAAGACAAAAUAGUUUGCUCAUAGCGUAUAUCAAGCUCUAUCUACAUAAACUAUAGGCUUCGUACUAACGAAAUCAAGGCAAUCUUCUCUCUAUUUAGCUUCCUAAAUUAUGAAUCCUUGCUUAAAAGAACCCAUCUUGAUCAAGUGAAGGAAGCACAGAAAUCCAAACCCAUGCUCUUGAUCCAUAGCUUCUGUUUGAAAAUGAAAUCAGAGGAAAUCAAACGAAAAUAGAAACACAGGUUACAGAUCUAUCGUGUAUGCUUGUCGAAGAAGAAGGAGAUGACAAAGAAGAUGAAGGAGAAUAAAAAUUUGAACCUCCGUACGAAGAUUGAAUUGCUUGUGUAUGGUUUUCCGUCGCCAACACCCAUGCUAUUAGAGAUUGAAUUUGUUGAAGAAGAACGAAGAAGAUUAAAAAAGGAAGGAGAUGUUUUACAUUUUACGACGAACAAAGGAAGGGGAUUUCAUGACAAAAAAUUAAGGAAGGGGAUUUCUUUUAAUGAAAGGGAUAAGAUUUGACCAGAUGCAUUUUUUAUUAGCU